ACGCACAGAGUAAUUUAUCUCGUGUGGAGGAGACUGUUGAGGAGGAAGGAAGUUCGGUAACGAGGAGGAUAAUCUUACUUCUACUGGAAGGAUAGAAAGUCAGGACUCGAUUAAGAUCCAAGUUCGAGGCCUGUGAUAUCAAGUGGACAAGCUGUAUCGUCAUAUACCAAGUUAUCUCACGUUUUCCAGUGUUCGUAAAAGUGUAACCAUGAAAAGGGAAGUCCGGACUGCAGCAGAAUUUUUAACAAAUCUUCUCCGACUGGGGAAGAUCCUGGACGCCAGUCAACUUCGUUUAUUUCACAGUCAAAUGGAGAAGUUUUUAACCGAACACUAUCAACAACAUUGGUUUCCGAAUAACGCUUUUAAAGGUUCAGGCUAUCGGUGUCUGCGGAUCAAUCACAAAAUGGACCCAGUGAUCGGUAAAGCGGGUAGGUCAUGUGGUCUUAGAGAAGGUAGUCUCAGAAAACUGUUCCCUCACGAGCUUACUAUGUGGGUUGACCCCGGUGAAGUGUCUUAUCGAAUUGGUGAGAACGGAAGUAUUUGUGUUUUGUAUGAUGGAAACAAACAGGAAUCUUUGUCGGACUCUGACGACACCUAUGAUGUAGAACACCAACAGAAAGUUUUGACAGACUCUGACGACAGCUGUGGGGUAGAAAGCUACCAUCAUGACAGCGGUGGUUACUUCGACAUGCCAAGUCAUCAUUCAUUUAUUGAAAAUAUCCCUCGGUUGUUGCGUGGAAGUUGUAAAGAAACUGUGUCUCGUGUAGGUAGAGUAGGGUGGGAAAGUUUUAUUAUGGAUCCUCGGUACUCAAACCUUGGACUCGAACAUUUAACAGCUUUUGUCUCCAGUUAAAUACAGGUCUACUUCAUCCGAAUCCAGUUAAAUCCUGGUCUACUUCAACUGAAUGUAGUCAGGAUUGAAUUAUAUUAUGUGAUGAUCUCUUAUUUGUAAAUGUAAAGCUAAGCCUAGUUCAAUAAGGUUUUGUGGUAAGCUCUCAGGAAAUGAAUGACAAAAUAACAAGUUUACAAACUGGCCUAGAGUAGAAAGUUUUGGAAUUAGGGACCAUUAACCGUACCAACCGUCGUAAAAUUAUCAAUUUCCAUAUUUAAACAGACUGUACUGAUAUUUGUGAUAACGGCCCAGGAACUAAUUAUUGUCAGGAUGGUUCAUUAUAAUGUGAUUCAACAGGUGAUUUUAAUUUAAUUAAAAAACUAGCGUUUCUUAGAUCAACGAAUCCUUGAAGAUUAUGCUUGCAAAUACAUGAAUUCCGACCCUUGUGGAGAAACAAACAUACUGAAUGUGAUUUUGUACUUACUAUACGUGGCUGCCUACAUAGCUGUAAAAACACUGCCUAUUUUCAGUAACUUCCGACAUCAGGAAAGCAAUUCGUUAAAAGGGCGUAGUUCAGAACUUGCUCAUGCAGCCUGUAUCAGUGAUACAACUUACAAGAUCUUAAUUAACUCGUUAAUAGAUCUCUUUAAGAUAUACCGUUGUUACUGGUCGCUUAAAGUGUACUAUAAGGACACCCAGACCAAGUUAUAGUGUGUUAGUUUAUAUUUUUUAGCAGAUGGAGUUUUAAAUAACCAGUAAGGAAAUUUCACUAACACUUACAAAAACAUUCAGAAGCUAGGCUUCCGCCUGAGAAGUACGUAGAUCAGUUGUAUGCCCGAGUGCUCCACCUAUUAUUAUUAAUUUACAUUUGAAAAUAUAUAAAAAGCAAUGCUUAGAAAGACAGUAACUUUUUCCUGUGUUAGGCAACAACUAUCAUAUUAUCAAGUUUUUAUCAUAUUAAUUAACUAGACCUGUUAUACAACACAAACAUUUUUUUUUUUAAUUUAGAAAUUCAAGUGAUUUUUUCCCUAAAAUUGUUGUUGUACUUAAGUUAUCAUUGGAAAGAAACAUAACGAAUUGUAGGCCUAAUAAGACCACAAAUCCCUUUCCUGUGGCUUGCCAAGUAUACUUACUUGAACGUUGAACCGGUAUUUUAUGUAAUCAAAUCGACUUUAUUCCUACCGAAUGUGAUGUAAAAUAAGCUGAGAAUGGAUAGAUUUAAGAUAACUGGGCCAAAACGUUUCGCCCAUCAUAAGGCAGUCUACUGUACAAAUGCUUUCUGUAAAAAUGUAACAUAAAAGUUAAAACUAUUUUGCAUGUACAGUAUAUAUAUAUACAUUCGUUGACAUAAGACGUUUUGUACAGCGACUUGUAUUAAAUAAAAAAUUAUUUGUGAGUUGUACCAGCA
Molecule: RNA transcript, 2240 nt
Organism: Limulus polyphemus (Atlantic horseshoe crab)
Lineage: Eukaryota; Metazoa; Arthropoda; Merostomata; Xiphosura; Limulidae
Gene name: protein BTG2 pseudogene
Exons: 1
Source: RefSeq, a predicted model, not a curated record